GGAUUGUAGUCUGCAACUCGACUACAUGAAGCUGGAAUCGCUAGUAAUCGCGAAUCAGAAUGUCGCGGUGAAUACGUUCCCGGGUCUUGUACACACCGCCCGUCACACCAUGGGAGUCGGAUAUGCCCGAAGUCAGUGACCCAACCUUUUGGAGGGAGCUGCCGAAGGUGGAGCCGAUAACUGGGGUGAAGUCGUAACAAGGUACC
This 206-nucleotide ribosomal RNA is filed under the name uncultured bacterium. Its description in RNAcentral is "partial 16S ribosomal RNA". It matches the Rfam family "Bacterial small subunit ribosomal RNA", at positions 1295 to 1500 of the family's 1533-position model. The record is from RNAcentral.